UGUUUUGCUGUGAUGAAUCGCAAGGACGGUAUAUGAGCUAGUCGGCUGUUGAAAAAUGGCCUCCUUGCUUGAUUACGCACCCUUAACUGAUCAUAAAUUCUGAGCAAACG
Molecule: non-coding RNA, 110 nt
Organism: Hordeum vulgare subsp. vulgare (domesticated barley)
Lineage: Eukaryota; Viridiplantae; Streptophyta; Magnoliopsida; Poales; Poaceae
Source: Rfam